Heterocephalus glaber (naked mole-rat) is the source of this 5131-nucleotide long non-coding RNA. RefSeq lists it as uncharacterized. The record is from RefSeq and is a predicted model, not a curated record. Lineage: Eukaryota; Metazoa; Chordata; Mammalia; Rodentia; Bathyergidae.
CAUGAAUUUUCUUGUCCCGCGGAUCCAAGAUGGCGACGUAUCCACCGCGGAGGCUGCUGGGAGCAAGACCUUUACCCCCUGACCCCCGCCGUGACCCCCGUCGCUCUGGCUUCCCUUAAGGCGGCAGUGGAAGGUGGGUGCGGCGAUUGCGGAUCGAACACAGGGCUGGGGAUCCUGCAUCCUCCGGUGCCGUGUCUGUACUUCAGGAGACCCGCAACACGUCACCGUCGCCUUCUGAGAAGUGAGUUUCCCUCUGCCGAGAUCAUUGGUGCCUACUUGCUCCCCCUUCCUUUUAUUUUUUAUUUUAACCUGGUAGUAGGAAGUAUUAAGGGAGCAGGUUUUUAACACACUGUGGUGCGAACUGACUUCAGCCGAAUCACCUUUACAGCAGUUUGCCUAGCUCCCACCCCCAGUCUCCUGUUAAGCCUGAGUUACCCGCUGUGCCACCAGAGAUCGUUUGAAAUUGUGAUGACUUUGGUGGAAACUUGGAGUGGAGAAGGAGUGAAGUCUGCUUUCCACGAACGUACCUGUCAUUGAAAGUGAAACGAAACUUGUUUUCUUUGCGCAACUGGGAAUUCAAGACCAAGGUGCUGCCAGAUUCCUUGUCUAGUGAAGACCUCAUGAAACCAUCCAAAUGUCUCUAUGGGAGGAAGGGACAGAAAGACAAAAGAGGGACAAACUCUUUGCUCACAUACAAAAGUAAAGGGUCAAGAAAGUACUUCCUUCAACCUUGAGUCAUUUUGUAAGGGUACUAAUCACCUCCCAAAGAGUCUCCUCUCUUAAUACUGUGGCGUCUGUGCUUGAGUUUCAACAUACGGAUAGAAAUACAGAAAUUAAAACGGGUCUCACUGUGUAGUUCAGGCUGGCCUUGAACUCACCAUGCAGCCCGGGCUGGCCUCGAACACGUGGUGCUCCUCCUGCCUCAGCCUCCCUCUGAAGUGCUGAGAUUACAGGCAUGCACCACCAUGCCCUAUUUAACUUUUAAUUCUUUUUUUUAAACUCUUAAUUAGCUUGAUUUUACACAUAAACACAAAUCAUUUAAUGUCUGAAUGCUUACAAAUGUUCUUCCAUCUCUAUCUCCUCCUGCCUUCUGUACCUCUUUCAGCUACUAUUCUCACUUUAUAUUGUCUCAUGUCUCUGCUAAAUCAGAUUCCAAUAGCCCUGCCUAAGAAAUCAUGAAUUAAAACAUAGUAAGUGAUCAUUAAUUUUGUUUGUCAACUUGAUAGGAUUGAGUAACCCUUGAAAAUUGAUAAAGCACAUUUCUGGAUGUGUCUGUGAGGUUAUUUCCAGAGAAGGUUGGUAUAUGGAACAGCAAACUGAGUGAGAGAGAUCCACCUGGAAUGUGGGCAGAACCAUUCCUUAGGCUUGGGUCCAGAAAUGCAUGCUUGUGUUCAGCCCUUCUUGAGUGGAUGUCUUUUUGUUAAUGCUAUCACCUGUGGACAUCAGGAUGCAGAUUUUUCAGUCUUUGUAUGUGAACUUGAACCUAUGGUUCUCCUAACGCUAACCCUAACCCUAACUCUAAAUGGAUUAUCUAUCUCUGGAUUAAUGGGUUAAUAAAUUACUGGAAUGUUAGAGUAGGUGUGGCUUUGUUAUAAAUGCAAGCUAGCAAGCUUAUUCUGUCUUGCUCCUGUGCCAGCCACCUUGAGACUGCAGAGAAUUUUCACCAGAAAGAAAGUUUUUAUGAGAUGUGACCCCUCAACCUUGAACUUCCAGCCUCCAGAAGUAUGAGAAAUAAAUUUCUUUUUUAAAAAAUGUUACCUAGACUGUGGUAUUCAAUCAUAGCCACAAAAAAUGGACUAAGACACAUGAAAAAAACAACUGUAGGAUAGUAAAAAGAAGACUGCCAAGAUUGGAUAUAGUCUUAGAUUCAAAAUAAGGUUCUCUUAUCUAGACUUUAGACUAACAGAUAAAAUUCAAGGUAUCUAGUUAAAUUUGAAUUUCAUUAAACAGUGAUUUUUAUUAUAAAUAUGCCACAUAAGUAUGGAACAUGCACUAAAAUUUUCAUUUUUUCUUUUUAAAUCAAAUUCAAAUUUAACAAGGGAUCCUUUUUCUAAACCUUGAAACUUUAUUUUAGAUAAGUAUUUUUGUUAUGUAUAGUUUAUCAAAUACAUCCUCUUAAAAAAACUUUUUUGGUCUUACUCUGUUCUUCUAGGAGCUGACUCUUAUAAUUGUUGUUUCCUGUACCUUCUUGACAGUGACUUUUUCUUGUUGAAUCCAGAAAGUGGAAGGAAAGGGAAGAAUUGACAGUAGGAAAAAAGAUAGAGGCCAGAUUUUCUUCCUACCUUGUCAUGCCUACUGAAGCAUCUCUGCUAGUGGAAAUAUCUCUCUAUAAGUAUAGUGCAUGCAUGACAUUUCCUCCUACAUGGCUUUAGAUUUGCAUUAAACUCUGUUUCCUUCUUGGGCCUUAGUUAGAAAAGCAAGUCUUUUUAAGUCCAUGGAACCUUAAUCAUAUUUUUGUGAAAUGAGGGAAAUAAUACCUCCCCUGCACAUUUUUUUUGGUAAGAGAUUAUGUAUGUGGCUAUCAGGAGGAAAUCUAAUAUUUCAAUUGAUAUUUAGUAUGCUGUAUCAAUAAUUCUCUCCAGCUCUUCUAUAGCUGAAUAGUGACUAUUGAAAAAAAUCUAACGUAGACAGCAACUAUAAACUCCUGACAAAAUAUAAAGGUUAACUUUCUGAAGGAAUUGGCUAAUAAUCCACAGCAGGCAUAUACUAGAGGAGAGUAACUUACUGAGAUGAAAGAAACAGGACUGGAUGAAUUUUUCAUUGUUAUAGCUUUUAAACUAAGGGCAGUCCCAAGUCUUACCAGACUGGGAGGCUUAAAAAUCCAGCAAAAAACUGAUAGCCUAACUGGCAGAAGAAUCAAGAGUUUAGGACAACUAUAGCCACUAGAAAUUGACGAAGAAAUCCUACAAAGGAGGGUUCUAAAACUGAGAACACAAAUCUAGCUAUAAGCUCUCCCCAGAUUUCCAGCUGACCCCUGAAUCAUACCUGCAUGGGGCAGGCUCCAGCAGGCCAACUAAAACUAAAAUAGUAGUACUGAAAUUUAAGUGUGUUGUCUGUUUUUUAAGAGAGAGUUUGCAAUUUGAGUCCAUUCAAAUUAAAUAUUAAAACAAAUUAGUCAGCACUUUUUAGAGACACCAUAGAAUCCAGAAUCUCUCCAAUACAUCAUUUACAUUGUCCAAAAUACAGUCCAUAGUAACUUGAUGAAAAAAUUGGGAAAAUAGGGCCAGGGAUUUAGCUCAGUGGUUUCGCCGCCUGCUAUGCAAGCGCAAAGACCCGAGUUCGAUUCCCGGUACCAAAAAAAAAAAGAAAUUGGGAAAAUGAACAAUUUUAAAAAGAGAAGAAAAUUGGUGUCAUGUGACCUUCAAAAAACUCUCAGAUGUAAAUAGCAGGUAAGAAUUUGAAUGCAACUAUUAUAAAUGUGCCCAAGGAUAUUAAAAAAUGCUCACAAUGAAUGAAAAGAUUGGAAAUCUCAGAAGAAAAUAGAAACUAUAAAAUAAAACUUCUAGAAUUGAAAAAUAUAAUAUCUGAAAUAAAAAUAUUCAUUGAAUAUGAUUAACACAGAAAGAAUAGAAUAGAAUAAAGAAUAAAUUAAGUAAGAUACAUCCAAAGAAAAACUACACCCAGCCACAUCACUGUCAAACUGCUAGAAAAUAAAGAUGAAGAGAAAAUCUUGAAAUGAUAGCCAAGGAAAAUGACAUACUUCAUACAAUUCAAAUGACUGUUGACUAUCAAUAACUAUGAGACUAGGAAACAGGCAAUAUCAAUUAAGUACUGAGAAAAAAACAAAAUUUAGAGUUCUAAACUCAACAAAAAAAACAGUAACAAAGGCAAGAAAAAGCACAUUUUCAGUUUAAAAAAAACAAGAGAAUUCAUUGCCAGCAGACCUGCACUGAAAAUUCUUAGGACAGAUAGAAAUUGAAACAGCUGAAAAUUCAGAUCUUUAGGAAAGAAGGCCUUUUCAAAUGGUAAGUCUGUGGGUAGAUAAGUACCAACUACCAACUGACAUAAAAAUAAUCAAGUUUCUUUAUGUUAUGUUACUUUAUGAUACAUAAUGUAUAUAAAUAUAUAUAAAGUAAUAUUAGAUCAGAAAUUUAAACUAGGACACCUAACUUUGAGGGCAGAUUUCAAAGUACACAGUAAUCCAGAUGGAAGUUUUUAAAAGAAAUUACCAAGAAUUUACUAGAUAACUCAACCAUAUUAUGAGCAUAAAAAGUUUGGGUUCUUGGACAAUUGAAAAGAUUUUUGAGGAUGAUUAAUAUGCUCUGACUACCAACCUUCACCAUUCAAAGAUAUUGGAGUGCUAUAUCUGGCACUUAAGUUUAGUGAAAUGGGCUUUAAUAGGACUACUUGGAUAAUUUGAUAUCUAUUCACUAUGGUGGAAGAGUGUAAGUAGGUUUACUAAUUUAUUAUUUAUUUGAGUCAGGCUUAUUGAGGCCCAAUUUAUGCAAAGUAAAGUUAACCUUUUUUAGCUGCACAGUCCUAUGAGAUUUCACAAAUAAGUUUUAACAAGUAAUACCAUAUCAUUACACCUCUCCAAAAGCUCACUGGUAUUCCUUUGUAGUCAAUAAUCUCAUUGCACUUCUAGAGGCUAUCAGUGGUUUGAUUUUUAUUCCUAUAGUUUUAUCUUUUCAGAAUAUCAUAUAAAUUGAGUCAUAGAAUAUGUGGUCUUUUGCUCACUUUGGCAGCACAUAUACCAAAAUUAGAAUAUGUAGCAUUUUGUAUCUGUCUUUCAAUUAACAUACUGCUUUUGAAAUUCAUCCAUAUUGCAUGCAUCAGUAAUUUUGAACACAAUUUGUCCACUCAUUAGCUGAAUUCUUGGAUCGUGCUAUGGUUUGAAUGUUCCUUCCAACACUGAUGUUGAAAUUCAAUUAUUGAAGUAGUAUUGAGAGGUGGAACCUCUAAGAGAUGAUGAGGUCCUAAGGGCACUCCCCAUGAAUAGAGUAAGGACAUUAGUGGGUUAGUAAUUUUAAGAGUAGGGUUAGUUAUUUUGAGAGUAGUCUCCUUGGCCCUGUUUUUCUGUCUCCUAUGUACGCACUUGCCCUUUUGCUAUAUUAUGGAACAAGAAGGCCCUCACCAUAUGUUCCCUGCAAUAUUUAGAACUAUGAGUCAAAUAAACUUCUAUAGUUUAUAA